This 1125-nucleotide long non-coding RNA is filed under the name Anas platyrhynchos platyrhynchos (common mallard). RNAcentral's name for it is "lncRNA (ENSAPLG00000026853.1)". Lineage: Eukaryota; Metazoa; Chordata; Aves; Anseriformes; Anatidae. The record is from RNAcentral.
GAUCUGCUUCACAUACAUCAUCUUGCUGCAUUCAUGUCUAAAAUAUGGAAUGGCCUACAAACAAAGACAAUUAUUUCUGGUUUCUAAUUAGCAUCACAAUUGGAGAUAUUAGAUUUUUCUUCUUUUUGAAUCACUUCUGGCUUCAAACCAUGUUGCUAGUUAGCAAUUCCUGCCAGAAAGCAAAGCCAGAAGGUUUAAAAUCAAGCAAUAAGUAUAGAGGAACAGAAUAAAUGCUUUUCCCUAAAAAGCAGCUGGAAGAUUAGGAUUGUGGCCAUGCCACAGUACUAAAGAGAAAAGAGCUUAUUUUGACAAAAGGGUUAACAGAUAUUAAAAACAAAGCAUCAACUGAAGUGACAGAUAGGGCCUGGAAUUAGUGGGGCCAGAGGAGGUGCCUCAGGGCUCACUGGUAGCAGAUCCAGAUACUAGCAGGGGGAAAAACUUCUAUCAUCUUUUGCAGGUGUUUUAUUCAGAGAUGUAGGUAAGUAUCUGGUUUUGGUUGUUCUUGAAAAUUAUAAUUUAUAAGAUUCUUUUCUUCUGCAGAUGACUGCUUCCAGAACAUAAAUAUAGAUGAUAUAGAUAUAGAUAUUUUGUCCAAUUUGCAUAUGAGCCUUCUGAAGAAUGUAGUCAGAGUUCGACACAUAGAUGAGAGCAGCCCUAGAGAUGAAGAGAAUGGAGUGAAAAGUAUUGAAGAAAAUAGGUGUGGUGUUCUGCACCAGCAAUACAACACGAUUCCUUGUGCCCUGGCCUCAGGAGGAAAAAGAGGGUGUCAGAGAAGCUGUCACUCCAAAAGUGAGGGAGAUGAACUUCUGUGGAAUACUGAGAGCUCUUUUAACAGUGGGGGCCUGAGUGCUUGUGUUGUGUGUGUGUGUGUGUAGCAAAGUACUUAAAUUCCAAGGUGUAUGGUGCAGCUUUCUGUCUUGAACAAUCUUGUUUAAAUUAAUGUAGCAGGAGACCUAGAAAUCCAUGACUUCCCUACCUGUUGACUGGUUACUGAAAUCGUUUUGUCUUGUAUUAAAUGACUGACAAAGUGAUUUGUGCCAACCAUUACAACCGGUAUUGGUGACAUUUGGAAAAGAUUUAUUUGGGUCAAAUAAAUAUAUGGAAUUAAAAAAAAAAAAAAAUGUG